AACGCACCUUGCGCCUCUUGGUAUUCCGAGAGGCAUGCCUGUUUGAGUGUCAUGAAAUAUCAAUUCACAAGAGUUUUCUUGUGGACUUGGACCUGGGCGUUGCCUCACAAGGCUCGCCUCAAAUGACUCAGUGGGAUCUCCUUGACCUACGCCUGACGUAAUAAGUUUCGUCUCGGCCGGUCCUGGAGCCCGCUCACAACACCCCAUACUUUACCAUUGACCUCAAAUCAGGUAGGGCUACCCGCUGAACUUAA
This 254-nucleotide unclassified non-coding RNA is filed under the name uncultured fungus. Its description in RNAcentral is "partial contains 5.8S ribosomal RNA, internal transcribed spacer 2, and large subunit ribosomal RNA". The stretch from base 1 to 52 matches the Rfam family "5.8S ribosomal RNA", at positions 103 to 154 of the family's 154-position model. The record is from RNAcentral. Lineage: Eukaryota; Fungi.